GCUUACGGCCACACUCCCUGAGCACGCCUGAUCUCGUCUGAUCUCGGAAGCUAAGCAGGGUCGGGGCCGGUUAGUAUUGGAUGGGAGACGCCUGGGAAUACCAGGUGCUGUAAGCC
This 116-nucleotide ribosomal RNA is filed under the name Esox lucius (northern pike). The record is from RNAcentral. Lineage: Eukaryota; Metazoa; Chordata; Actinopteri; Esociformes; Esocidae.